RNAcentral lists this ribosomal RNA (443 nucleotides) under uncultured bacterium. RNAcentral's name for it is "partial 16S ribosomal RNA". It matches the Rfam family "Bacterial small subunit ribosomal RNA", at positions 338 to 795 of the family's 1533-position model. The record is from RNAcentral.
CCUACGGGUGGCAGCAGUGGGGAAUAUUGGACAAUGGGGGGAACCCUGAUCCAGCGACGCCGCGUGAGUGAAGAAGUAUUUCGGUAUGUAAAGCUCUAUCAGCAGGGAAGAAAGGAAUGACGGUACCUGAAUAAGAAGCCCCGGCUAACUACGUGCCAGCAGCCGCGGUAAUACGUAGGGGGCAAGCGUUAUCCGGAUUUACUGGGUGCAAAGGGAGCGUAGACGGUUACGCAAGUCUGGAGUGAAAGGCGGGGGCCCAACCCCCGGACUGCUUUGGAAACUGUAUAACUGGAGUGCAGGAGAGGUAAGUGGAAUUGCUAGUGUAGCGGUGAAAUGCGUAGAUAGUAGGAGGAACACCAGUGGCGAAGGCGGCUUACUGGACUGUAACUGACGUUGAGGCUCGAAAGCGUGGGGAGCAAACAGGAUUAGAUACCCCGGUAGUC